RNAcentral lists this ribosomal RNA (253 nucleotides) under uncultured prokaryote. Its description in RNAcentral is "partial 16S ribosomal RNA". It matches the Rfam family "Bacterial small subunit ribosomal RNA", at positions 524 to 776 of the family's 1533-position model. The record is from RNAcentral.
GACAGGGGAUGCAAGCGUUAUCCGGAAUGAUUGGGCGUAAAGCGUCUGUAGGUGUCUUUUUAAGUCUGCCGUCAAAUCCCAGGGCUCAACCCUGGCCAGGCGGUGGAGACUACUAAGCUGGAGUACGGUAGGGGCAGAGGGAAUUUCCGGUGGAGCGGUGAAAUGCGUAGAUAUCAGGAAGAACACCAGUGGCGUAGGCGACUAACUGGGCCGUAACUGACGCUGAGGAACGAAAGCCAGGGGAGCGAAUGGG